AUUCCAUUAUGAUGACACCUUCUCUCUAUUUCCUUGAAUAUUUCCCAUGCUUCGAAGACUGUUUCAGUAUCCUCUUGGCAGAAGUCAUGGAUUUCCCUUCUGAAUUU
Molecule: small nucleolar RNA, 107 nt
Filed under: Nicotiana sylvestris (wood tobacco)
Lineage: Eukaryota; Viridiplantae; Streptophyta; Magnoliopsida; Solanales; Solanaceae
Description: Plant small nucleolar RNA R71
Rfam family: Plant small nucleolar RNA R71
About the family: R71 is a member of the C/D box family of snoRNAs containing the C (UGAUGA) and D (CUGA) box motifs. Multiple nearly identical copies of this snoRNA have been identified in Arabidopsis, and it is thought to function as a 2'-O-ribose methylation guide for 18S ribosomal RNA.
Source: Rfam by way of RNAcentral